GGGGCCGACUGGUUUUGACAGCGAGACCAAUGGCUAUGUAAGCAUGCCGAGCGCUGAGAUACAGCUCGAAAAUAUCAUAUUUCAACUUUUUAAAUGGCGAAUCUAAUUACGCUCUUGCCGCAUAAUCCGAAUUAUAGUAGGAUCAUGCCUCGUCUCUGCUAGGCAGAGAAGCGAGAUGCCCCUUGGAAGCCCUUGUUGGCGGCGUACAGUUUAGGGGCACCAUAAAAGUCAACAACGCGACCUUGCUGCUUCGACAAGGUUGUUUAUUAAGAAGCUAAGCGUAUAAUAGGCGGUUUUUGGUCAGUUAUACGCCGACAAUCAAACAAAAACUAAGCAUGUAGAAAGCAUAGGUAUUUCUUGUUUGGACGGGAGUUCGAAUCUCCCCGGCUCCACGA
Molecule: transfer-messenger RNA, 395 nt
Filed under: Flavobacteriaceae bacterium
Lineage: Bacteria; Pseudomonadati; Bacteroidota; Flavobacteriia; Flavobacteriales; Flavobacteriaceae
Rfam family: transfer-messenger RNA
About the family: Bacterial tmRNA, also known as 10Sa RNA or SsrA, is named for its dual tRNA and mRNA-like properties.
Source: RNAcentral